RNAcentral lists this transfer RNA (74 nucleotides) under Marmota monax (woodchuck). Its description in RNAcentral is "tRNA.Gly". Lineage: Eukaryota; Metazoa; Chordata; Mammalia; Rodentia; Sciuridae. The record is from RNAcentral.
GUGGGGACACAGCUCAGCGGGUAGAGGGCCUGCCUCCCAGGCACAAGGCCCUGGGUUCAAUCCCCAGCACCGCA